GUCCUGGGGGGGUUCUGAGGGGGUCCUGGGGACACCCAGGUUAACAAGGUGAGGUCUGGGGGGGUCCUGGGGGGCUCCUGGGGUCACUGAGGCGACAACUUGGGGUGCACUGAGGCUCUGCAGGGCCCUGAACCCCCAUUUUGGGCUUUUAUUGUCCCUUUAUUGUCCUUUUAUUGUCCCUUUAUUAUCCUUUUAUUAUCCUUUUAUUGUCCCUUUUUGUACUUUUUUAUCCUUUUUUUGUCGCAUUUUCAUCCCUUUUUGCCCAUUUUUGCCCCUUUUUGUCCCUUUUUGUCCCUUUUUGCCCAUUUUUGUCCCUUUUUGUCCCUUUUUGUCUUUUUUUGUCUCAUUUCUACCCCAUUUUGUCCCAUUUUUGUCCAUUUCCAUCCCAUUUUUACCCCUUUUUUGUCCAUUUUUGUCCGUUUUUAUCCCAUUUUUGUCUGAUUUUUGCCCCAUUUUGUCUCAUUUUUGUCACAUUCCCAUUUUUGUCCCUUUUUUUCCCAUUUUUAUCCCAUUUUUGUCCCAUUUUUUCCCAUUUUUGUCACUUUUUGUCUCAUUUCUGUCCCAUUUUUUUCCAUUCUUGUCACUUUUUGUCCAUUUUUGUCCCUUUUUAUCUCAUUUUUCCCCUUUUUGUCCCAUUUUUGUCCAUUUUUGUUCAUUUUCAUCCCAUUUUUUCCCCUUUUUAUCCCAUUUUUGUCCCAUUUCUGCCCCAUUUUGCCUCAUUUUUGCCACUUUCUACCCCAUUUUUGUCACUUUUUAUCCAUUUUUGUCACUUUUUAUCCAUUUUUGUCACUUUUUGUCUCAUUUCUGUCCCAUUUUGUCUCAUUUUUGUCACUUUUUUCCCUUUUUUGUCCAUUCUUGUCCAUUUUUGUCCCUUUUUGUCCCUUCUUUCCCCAUUUUUGUCCAUUUUUGUCACUUUUUAUCCCAUUUUUGUCCAUUUUCAUCCCAUUUUUCCUCUUUUUGUCCCAUUUUUGUCACUUUUUGUUUCAUUUCUGUCCCAUUUUUUUCCAUUUUUGUCCCAUUUUGUCCCAUUUUUUCCCCUUUUUUUCCCUUUUUUGCCCUUUUUUGCCCUUUUUUACCCUUUUUAUCCAUUUUUGUCCCAUUUUUGUCAUUUUUUGUCUCAUUUCUGUCCCAUUUUUUUCCAUUUUUUUCCCUUUUUAUCCAUUUUUGUCACUUUUUACCCCAUUUUUCCCCUUUUUGUCCCAUUUUUGUCCCUUUUUGUCCCUUUUUAUCCAUUUUUAUCCCAUUUUUGUCACUUUUUGUCUCAUUUCUGCCCCAUUUUGUCCCAUUUUUGUCACUUUUUUUCCCUAUUUUUCCUUUUUUGCCCUUUUUUGUCCCUUUUUGCCCAUUUUUGUCCCUUUUUGUCCCUUUUUAUCAUAUUUUUAUCCCAUUUUUGUCACUUUUUGUCUCAUUUCUGUCCCAUUUUUUUCCAUUUUUGUCCCUUUUUGUCCCAUUUUUGUCACUUUUUUCCCCUUUUUUUCCCUUUUUUGCACUUUUUUGUCCUUUUUUGUCCAUUUUGACCCCAUUUUGUCCCAUUUUUGUCACUUUUUAUCCCUUUUUUUGCCCUUUUUUGCCCAUUUCUGUCCCAUUUUUGUCACUUUUUGUCCCUUUUUGCCCAUUUUUGCCCAUUUUUGUCACUUUUUGUUUCAUUUCUGCCCCAUUUUGUCCCAUUUUUGUCACUUUUUUUCCCUUUUUGUCCCUUUUUUUCCCUUUUUUUCCCAUUUUUGUCACUUUUUUCCCAUUUUUGUCACUUUUUGUCUCAUUUCUGUCCCAUUUUUGUCACUUUUUGCCCUUUUUUGUCCCUUUUUAUCCAUUUUUGUCCCAUUUUUGGCACUUUUUGUCUCAUUUCUGUCCCAUUUUUUUCCAUUUUUGUCCCAUUUUGUCCCGUUUUUGUCACUUUUUACCCCAUUUUUCCCCUUUUUGUCCCUUUUUAUCCAUUUUUGUCCCAUUUUUGUCACUUUUUUUCUCAUUUCUGUCCCGUUUUUGUCCCUUUUUUCCCUUUUUUGUCACUUUUUCUCUCAUUUCUGCCCCAUUUUGUCCCAUUUUUGUACCUUUUUGCCCAUUUUUGUCCCUUUUUGCCCAUUUUUGUCCCUUUUUUUGCCCUUUUUUUCCCUUUUUUGUCCCAUUUUUGUCCCUUUUUGUCCCUCUUUUUCCCAUUUUUGUCCCUUUUUGCCCAUUUUUGUCCCUUUUCACCCCAAUUUCCCCCCAGGUCGGGCUGUUCACGGAGAUCGGGCCGAUGUCCUGCUUCAUCUCGCGCCACGUGAGACCCCAAAAGUGUCCCCAAGGGGGGGGGACACCCCA
Long non-coding RNA from Cyanistes caeruleus (blue tit), 2298 nucleotides. The record is from Ensembl. Lineage: Eukaryota; Metazoa; Chordata; Aves; Passeriformes; Paridae.